AGAUAUGGGUGCGUGUAAACAAUAAAUAUCGAAAAAUUGUAAUUCGCUUCAUAAAUAUUAAUAUAAAUUACAAAAUGUGGCAUUAAAUUAAAAUAAAAAUAUAUUAAAAUGACGUAAAUAGGUGGGAAACGUGGAGUGCAUGGAGAUAAAUGAGUGGAGUCAUUCUGCCAACAUCGUUAACAAUGGAAUGAAGUCUGUGCAAGAUUAAAGAGGAGUUUACACAAGGAAAAUAGCAGAAGAAACAAAUGGACGAUAAAGAAAUAUCAGACUUCGCAGCAUACCAUGUGCUUGCAGAAUAUUUAUAGUUGGAGAAUAAUCUCCUGUGAGGAAAAGUUGCCAAAGUGUAAGCCUUGAUGCGCAUCACUCAUGCAGCAUCAUUCUUUGCACCGGAAUCAAUGUGCCAUUAUCGUUAGCUAUGGAAUGAAGUUUAUACAACAUGAAACAAGGAACAUAUAAAGAAGUAAAGGAACAAAUAUCAGAUAAGUAAUUUAUAUUUAUAUAAAGUAAAGCAUUAAGCAUCUAUAUGCUGCAAAUAAUUGCACAUGUCAAGUUGAUUGUUGCUUUGUAAUCAGUCAAUCAGUCGUUGCACCGCAGAUGACAGAUAUAUUUUUAUAUUUCAUAUAUUAGAUAUAAUUUCAAAUUUUUCUUCACCAGCACAUGGUAGGUUAACUGGGAGACUAAAAUAACAAAAUUAAUUACAAAACAACAAUCAACCCGACAACAUGUGCAAUUAUUUGCAGCAUAUAGAUGCUCAAUACUUUAUAUACUGUAUAUAAAUGUAAGUUAUUUACCUGAUAAUUUGACUGUUCAACACCAAACUGUACAUAAUAAUAGAAGCGCUGCGAUGAGGUCUUAUGUUAACAAGGCCAAAAAAUAUCAAUAAAAACACUAUUUAAUAUCAUGAACAAUUUUUCUAU
Harpegnathos saltator (Jerdon's jumping ant) is the source of this 917-nucleotide long non-coding RNA. RefSeq lists it as uncharacterized. The transcript is spliced from 3 exons. Lineage: Eukaryota; Metazoa; Arthropoda; Insecta; Hymenoptera; Formicidae. The record is from RefSeq and is a predicted model, not a curated record.